This 465-nucleotide ribosomal RNA is filed under the name uncultured Klebsiella sp. RNAcentral's name for it is "bacterial SSU rRNA". It matches the Rfam family "Bacterial small subunit ribosomal RNA", at positions 338 to 795 of the family's 1533-position model. Lineage: Bacteria; Pseudomonadati; Pseudomonadota; Gammaproteobacteria; Enterobacterales; Enterobacteriaceae. The record is from RNAcentral.
CCUACGGGUGGCAGCAGCGGGGAAUAUUGCACAAUGGGCGCAAGCCUGAUGCAGCCAUGCCGCGUGUGUGAAGAAGGCCUUCGGGUUGUAAAGCACUUUCAGCGGGGAGGAAGGCGUUAAGGUUAAUAACCUUGGCGAUUGACGUUACCCGCAGAAGAAGCACCGGCUAACUCCGUGCCAGCAGCCGCGGUAAUACGGAGGGUGCAAGCGUUAAUCGGAAUUACUGGGCGUAAAGCGCACGCAGGCGGUCUGUCAAGUCGGAUGUGAAAUCCCCGGGCUCAACCUGGGAACUGCAUUCGAAACUGGCAGGCUAGAGUCUUGUAGAGGGGGGUAGAAUUCCAGGUGUAGCGGUGAUAUGCGUAGAGAUCUGGAGGAAUACCGGUGGCGAAGGCGGCCCCCUGGACAAAGACUGACGCUCAGGUGCGAAAGCGUGGGGAGCAAACAGGAUUAGAUACCCGAGUAGUC